GUGGGGAAUUUUGCGCAAUGGGGGAAACCCUGACGCAGCGACGCCGCGUGGAGGAUGAAGGCCCUUGGGUCGUAAACUCCUGUCAGGUGGGAAGAAAAGCCUUCGGUAAACAGCCGAGGGUCUUGACUGUACCACCGGAGGAAGCCCCGGCUAACUCCGUGCCAGCAGCCGCGGUAAUACGGAGGGGGCAAGCGUUGUUCGGAAUCAUUGGGCGUAAAGGGCGCGUAGGCGGCCGAACAAGUCGGGUGUGAAAUCCCUCGGCUCAACCGAGGAACUGCACUCGAUACUGUUUGGCUAGAGUCCGGGAGGGGAUGGUGGAAUUCCCAGUGUAGCGGUGAAAUGCGUAGAUAUUGGGAAGAACACCGGUGGCGAAGGCGGCCAUCUGGACCGGCACUGACGCUGAGGCGCGAAAGCCAGGGGAGCGAAUGGGAUUAGAUACCCCAGUAGUCC
This 450-nucleotide ribosomal RNA is filed under the name uncultured bacterium. Its description in RNAcentral is "bacterial SSU rRNA". It matches the Rfam family "Bacterial small subunit ribosomal RNA", at positions 354 to 796 of the family's 1533-position model. The record is from RNAcentral.